AUUCAGCUGACGAGUCCUAAAUAGGAUGAAACACGCGUCAAGCUGGAU
RNAcentral lists this non-coding RNA (48 nucleotides) under Schistosoma margrebowiei. The record is from RNAcentral. Lineage: Eukaryota; Metazoa; Platyhelminthes; Trematoda; Strigeidida; Schistosomatidae.